AUUGAACGCUGGCGGCAUGCCUUACACAUGCAAGUCGAACGGUAACGGGCCUUCGGGUGCCGACGAGUGGCGAACGGGUGAGUAAUGCAUCGGAACGUACCUUUCAGUGGGGGAUAACGUAGCGAAAGUUACGCUAAUACCGCAUAUUCUGUGAGCAGGAAAGCAGGGGAUCGCAAGACCUUGCGCUGAUUGAGCGGCCGAUGUCAGAUUAGCUAGUUGGUGAGGUAAAGGCUCACCAAGGCGACGAUCUGUAGCGGGUCUGAGAGGAUGAUCCGCCACACUGGAACUGAGACACGGUCCAGACUCCUACGGGAGGCAGCAGUGGGGAAUUUUGGACAAUGGGGGCAACCCUGAUCCAGCCAUGCCGCGUGAGUGAAGAAGGCCUUCGGGUUGUAAAGCUCUUUCGGCCGGGAAGAAAUCGCAUGGGUUAAUACCCUGUGCGGAUGACGGUACCGGCAUAAGAAGCACCGGCUAACUACGUGCCAGCAGCCGG
RNAcentral lists this ribosomal RNA (493 nucleotides) under uncultured bacterium. RNAcentral describes it as "bacterial SSU rRNA". It matches the Rfam family "Bacterial small subunit ribosomal RNA", at positions 30 to 518 of the family's 1533-position model. The record is from RNAcentral.